AUAAUACAUCCGAAUACAUAAAUUAUAUUAAUUAAAAAAAUAUAUGAAUACAUUCAUGGAGUAUAGCGAAACAGUAAAUGCAAUGAAAUACAUAGAAUGCAUGGAUGCAUUGAAAUACAAUGAAAAAAAGAUAAUGAUUACAAUGAAAUACAUGGAAAUACAUUCAAAAUUAUUAACAGAAAAUUCAAGUUGCUCAGUCUUUAACCCCGUCGACUUUGUUCAAAAACAACUAAUGUCGUCUUAUUGAAGCAGCAUCAGUAUCCAGUCCUCGCUUGUCAUUACCGUAGCCUCCGUUGCUGACGAUUAAUACCAGUAAAAUAACAGAGAUUUUUAUUGAUCUGUUAUGUUGCGUCAGAGAAUGUGGCACGCCACUGGUCUUGACAUCGACCGCCACUAUGGUGCUGACACCGCCCAAUUUCUCCUUAUUGGAGGCGGCAGCUCGGGUCCAUUCAAAAAUGGUGAAGAAAAUGUUAACAGAUAAAUAUGGUAGAGGCCGAGAGAAGAAGAAGGGUAUGUGGGGGUGGAUUAAGGCAUUGAGUUGCAGCGAUGGUGCCACAAUCAGUUGUCAAAGGCUCCAUUAGUUGCAUUAUACUUGUCUAAUAUGAAAAAAAAGAUAUUUCAAGAUUAAAUUCACUGGCAAUGUCAAAUACAACCCAACUUUUGAUCUAUACAUAAUCAUCUAGCAUUAGUCGGGAGAGAAGGGGGGAGGGGGUAGAUAUGAGGUAGGGGAGAAGAGAAAUUUGAAGAGAUAUGAGAGAGAAAAAUAAUAAAAAACUUAUUUUAUGAUUUAAGGGUAAAAAGUAACCAUAAAUAGAUAUUUGGUUAUAAAAAUCAACAAAUAUUUAUAAAAUAUAAUUUUUAAAAAGGUAUUUAUUUAAAUAAAUAAAGUAUCAACAUAGGAAGUAACUAUUCCUAAAGAAGAGAAAACU
Molecule: long non-coding RNA, 929 nt
Filed under: Nicotiana benthamiana
Lineage: Eukaryota; Viridiplantae; Streptophyta; Magnoliopsida; Solanales; Solanaceae
Description: long non-coding RNA (NBEN_LNC035742)
Source: RNAcentral